RNAcentral lists this ribosomal RNA (1728 nucleotides) under Triticum aestivum (bread wheat). RNAcentral's name for it is "partial small subunit ribosomal RNA". Lineage: Eukaryota; Viridiplantae; Streptophyta; Magnoliopsida; Poales; Poaceae. The record is from RNAcentral.
AUGACGACCCGACGACACCACAGGCAUGGUGAUCUCUACAGAGAAGUCCCCGUCACCCAGACUAGGCGACGCUCUCGUCUGGUGGCUCUUCCCGACGGCAGUCAUAUCCUUGACCCUCACGGCGAUGCCAACGAGGUAUCUCGACUCUUGAGAUAUGCACACUUGGGCGACUACUCCGACCUCCACCACCCGAGACCAAGCGUACCAGAUGGACGCAUGGAAGUCGUCCGCUCCGACAUCCAGACGAGGCCCUACGAUCGGCCACAGCCUCCACAGUGUGAGCCAGAGAACAUGGCCUCAAAUCAGUCGGUCGAUAGCUCGUCUAUCACCAACACUUCCUCAUCCUCCAAGCAGGCAGAUUUGGUAACUCAUGACGUCUCACCAACAUCAACGCACUCGUCUCCACUCAUCUCAGCUCGAAAACCUUCUGGUUGGCCUAUAGAGCUUUUCAUCAGAAUUGAUCUGGGGGGUUCUUUCCACACGUAUCCUUGUCUGGGGGGGCCAUUCCGGAGCUUGGAGGAAGCUGAAGAUGCCAUCAAAAGCCAUCUUGAUGGCCUGCGCUCUCCACUAAUGCGCAAAGAUAAGAUUUCGCCAGAGGAAUUUGCGGUACGAUAUCGCCUUUACUGGCCUGAUGGCACGAGGAAGAUGUCGUCCAAAUGCAAUUAUGAAAGCAGCAAUAGGAAGCUAUUGGUUCAAGCUUUACUCGAUAAAUACAAUGAAGAUCACCAUCUUUUGGGGGAUCUUGCAUAUGAACUUGAUGAUGUUUUGAGCUUCCGACAAAUUUUUGAGGAGGAGGGCUGCCUUGUUAACAUGUUCUAUCAUAUCAAUUUGGCUGUAAAAAUCAAAGGAGAUGAUGGUUUUCACAACAAUAUAUUCUUUGCUGAAGUCACACGAAUAAAAGGCGAAAAUGAAGAAUACGUGCUCAAUUGUUUCUGUAUGGUUAAACCUAUUGACAAUGGCCGAUGCUCAGGUUGUACGAGGUAUGGACAGUAUGAUUUGAAGCACCCAGCUGAUGCUGAUAAAUACAAAGGUGGCCACUCUACCCCGUUCAUCCAAUGUUGUGGUGUAGAUUGUAUUCCUUCCAUGGUCCUGGAUAGACCUGGAUACAUCCAGAAUGAGAAGGAUUGUUCGGAGGCGGAGAAGGCUAUGUUGGCGGCGGAGGAGGAGGCUAUGUUGGAGGAGGAGGAGGCUAGGAUAAGAUAUAUAUACAAGUGCCCUGGUGAUUCUCCUAUUCAGGCAAAAUCAGAUGGUGAAAAAAUGCCUGCUGGUUUGGCCAAGAGAGGAGAGGGUGCUGGUUUGGCCAAGAGUGGAGGGGGUGCAAAAUUGGAUGGUGCAAAGAUGACUGCUCGUUUGGCCAAGAGAAGAGAGUGUGCUGGUUUGGCCAAGAGAGGAGAGGGUGCUGGUUUGUCCAAGAGUGGAGAGGGUGCAAAAUUGGGUGGUGCAAAGAUGACUGCUGGUUUGGCCAAGAGAAGAGAGUGUGCUGGUUUGGCCAAGAGAGGAGAGGGCGCUGGUUUGGCCAAGAGAGAGGAUAACCAGGGAAGCGUGAAGUACAUUAUAGUUUUCCACCCGACCGUAGCCAUCGCCGCUGCCACAACUUCCAUACACUCCGCCGCCUGUGUACCCCCUCUUCUUCCUCGUUCGGUGGACUCAUCGGCGGAUGUGAGGCAUGAACUAGGUUGUAGAAUACCAAGUACUUUCCUUGAUUAUGGCUUCAAUUUCGUGGUGUGA